RNAcentral lists this ribosomal RNA (502 nucleotides) under uncultured bacterium. RNAcentral describes it as "partial 16S ribosomal RNA". It matches the Rfam family "Bacterial small subunit ribosomal RNA", at positions 28 to 507 of the family's 1533-position model. The record is from RNAcentral.
GAUUAACGCUGGCGGCGUGCCUAACACAUGCAAGUCGAGCGGCAGCGAGUUUUACACUGAAUUCUGGAAGCUUCUAGUUGAAAGAGAAGAUUUAUUCAAGAAUUUUGUGUAAAAUGUCGGCGAGCGGCGGACGGCUGAGUAACGCGUGGGAACGUACCCCAAAGUGAGGGAUAACGCAUCGAAAGGUAUGCUAAUACCGCAUAUGGUCUUCGGAUUAAAGCCUUCGGGCGCUUUGGGAACGGCCUGCGUAAGAUUAGAUAGUUGGUGGGGUAAUGGCCUACCAAGUCGACGAUCUUUAACUGGUUUGAGAGGAUGAUCAGUCAGACUGGAACUGAGACACGGUCCAGACUCCUACGGGAGGCAGCAGUGAGGAAUCUUCCACAAUGGGCGAAAGCCUGAUGGAGCAACGCCGCGUGCAGGAUGAAGGCCUUCGGGUUGUAAACUGCUUUUAUAAGUGAGGAUUAUGACAGUAACUUAUGAAUAAGGAUCGGCUAACUACGUG